Molecule: ribosomal RNA, 120 nt
Filed under: Phialocephala subalpina
Lineage: Eukaryota; Fungi; Ascomycota; Leotiomycetes; Helotiales; Mollisiaceae
Source: RNAcentral
ACAUACGACCAUAGAAUGAAGAACAUUGGGCAUCCCGUCCGCUCUGCCAUACACAAGCUUCAUAUCGUUAGACUAGUAGUUGAGUGGGUGACCAUCAGCGAAUCCCUAAUGUUGUAUGUU